This 1081-nucleotide long non-coding RNA is filed under the name Pan troglodytes (chimpanzee). Its description in RNAcentral is "lncRNA (ENSPTRG00000053270.1)". The record is from RNAcentral. Lineage: Eukaryota; Metazoa; Chordata; Mammalia; Primates; Hominidae.
CCGGAGCCCCCAACACCCACUGCACAUAGUCAUGUGGCUGUGGCACGCUGCUGAGUUGUGUGCACAAGCACACCAGUGCACUAGGGCCUGUGUGUUCUUUUAGAUUUAAUUUACUUCUGCCUUCUCCCUUCAUGGAUUAGGAGACUGUCCUUUUGUUUGUCAGGAGAGUUUGAAGUGACAAAUCUUCCUAUUCAUUAAGAUCAGUGUAACUGUAAGUAGAGACGAGGAUUCACUGUGUUAGCCAGGAUGGUCUCGAUCUCCUGACCUCGUGAUCCACCUACCUCGGCCUCCCAAAGUGUGGGGAUUACAGGUGUGAGCCACCAUGCCUGGCCAAGGGGGAGACAUUUUUUUAAAAAUUGAGAUUAUUCACCUUAAGUGAUUUCAGUUUGUAAAUGAUCAGUGGAUAAAAUCACAGAAAAUUAUCAAAUUUCCUUGGGAAAGUUUUGAUCCGAGUGCUUUUUUGGUACCACGAGACCCGGCUCUCUGCCAGCAUCAACCACUCACACCCCAGGGGGAUGAGCUCUCCAAGCCCAGGAUUCUGGCAAGAGAGGUGAAGAAAGUGGAUGUGCAGAGUUUGGCUGGGGAAGAGGACAUGCUCCUGAGCAAAAGCCCAUCCUCACUCAGCGCUAACAUCAGCAGCAGCCCAAAAGAGAUGGUGCUUCGCCAUGUUUCCCAGGCUGGGCUCGAACUCCUGCACCCAAGUGAACCUCCUGCUUCGGCCUCCUAAACUGCUGGGAUUACAGGUGUGAGCCACUGUGCCUGGCCCAAAACUAUUUUCAUAAAAAUACUAAGACAAUAUGUGCCUUUUCACUUUUAUUCUCUCACAGAUGUACAAUGGUGUAAGAGACAACAUGACGUGGAAUAAUAUCGUCACUUUGACAGUGAAGAUCUGUGCUAAUGUAUUGUACUUUUUCAUGCCUCAGUUUUAGUUUCUAAUACAGGAAAUAUUGAUAGAUAAAAUUCACAUAAAAGUUCUAAAGGUUCUCAAUAAUUUUUAAAGGUAUAAAAGGGGGUAGGGGUAAGAGGCUAUAACCAAAAAGUUUAAAGCCUUACAGGAUUUUUGUGAGACAUAGAGGUAACA